GUAGGGAAUUUUGCGCAAUGGGCGAAAGCCUGACGCAGCAACGCCGCGUGAUCGAGACGCCCUUCGGGGUGUAAAGAUCUGUCAGUGGGGACGAAACUUGACGGUACCCACAGAGGAAGCACCGGCUAACUCCGUGCCAGCAGCCGCGGUAAUACGGGGGGUGCAAGCGUUGUCCGGAAUCAUUGGGCGUAAAGAGUUCGUAGGCGGCACGUAAAGUCUGGUGUUAAAGGCAGAGGCUCAACUUCUGUACGGCACUGGAUACUUGCGAGCUAGAAUGCGGUAGAGGUAAAGGGAAUUCCUGGUGUAGCGGUGAAAUGCUUAGAUAUCAGGAGGAACAUCGGUGGCGUAAGCGCUUUACUGGGCCGUAAUUGACGCUGAGGAACGAAAGCCAGGGUAGCAAAUGGG
This 405-nucleotide ribosomal RNA is filed under the name uncultured bacterium. RNAcentral's name for it is "bacterial SSU rRNA". It matches the Rfam family "Bacterial small subunit ribosomal RNA", at positions 354 to 776 of the family's 1533-position model. The record is from RNAcentral.